UACGUAGGGCGCAAGCGUUAUCCGGAAUUAUUGGGCGUAAAGGGCGCGUAGGCGGUCGGAUAAGUCUUGUGUGAAAUCUUCGGGCUCAACUCGAAGUCUGCACAGGAAACUAUCUGGCUUGAGUGUGGGAGAGGUGAGUGGAAUUCCUGGUGUAGCGGUGAAAUGCGUAGAUAUCAGGAGGAACACCUGUGGCGAAAGCGGCUCACUGGACCACAACUGACGCUGAGGCGCGAAAGCUAGGGGAGCAAACAGG
This 253-nucleotide ribosomal RNA is filed under the name uncultured bacterium. Its description in RNAcentral is "partial 16S ribosomal RNA". It matches the Rfam family "Bacterial small subunit ribosomal RNA", at positions 524 to 776 of the family's 1533-position model. The record is from RNAcentral.